ACGGAAGGCAGCAGUGAGGAAUAUUGGUCAAUGGACGGAAGUCUGAACCAGCCAUGCCGCGUGAAGGAAUAAGGCCCUAUGGGUCGUAAACUUCUUUUGUGGUGGAGCAAUAAGGUGCACGUGUGCAUCGAUGAGAGUACAUCACGAAUAAGCAUCGGCUAACUCCGUGCCAGCAGCCGCGGUAAUACGGAGGAUGCGAGCGUUAUCCGGAUUUAUUGGGUUUAAAGGGUGCGUAGGCUGUUCUUCAAGUCAGAGGUGAAAUGCCGGGGCUCAACCCUGGAACUGCCUUUGAUACUGGAGGGCUUGAAUACUGUUGCCGUGGGAGGAAUGAGUAGUGUAGCGGUGAAAUGCAUAGAUAUUACUCAGAACACCGAUUGCGAAGGCAUCUCACGAAGCAGCGAUUGACGCUGAGGCACGAAAGCGUGGGGAUCAAACAGGAUUAGAUACCCUGGUA
This 454-nucleotide ribosomal RNA is filed under the name uncultured Rikenellaceae bacterium. Its description in RNAcentral is "partial 16S ribosomal RNA". It matches the Rfam family "Bacterial small subunit ribosomal RNA", at positions 341 to 792 of the family's 1533-position model. The record is from RNAcentral. RNAcentral also lists the same sequence under 1 other name. Lineage: Bacteria; Pseudomonadati; Bacteroidota; Bacteroidia; Bacteroidales; Rikenellaceae.